GUUAGUAAUCAGUACAAGAUCUGUUAGUAAUCAGUCCAGAACAGAUUCAAAAUCCGGCCAAAAAAUCCCACAACAUCUAUAUGAUCCAAGGACAGAGUAAUAGUUUUAUAGAUCUAGAUCUAUAUCAGACUAAACUCAUAGCAGACUAAAUCAAAAACAUCAACAGACAAAAUAAGAUCUAGGCCUCCGUCGACUACUCCGUUACCAGAAGAAUCGUCGGCGAAACGACGUCCCGCCAUGGAUACAAUCAAGAACAAAAUAGAGCAGCAAAAUCAACAAUUUAGAUCCGAGAGCCUCGUCUGUCAGCCGACGCCAGAUCCCACCAUUUAGAUCCGAGAGCCUCGUCUGUCAGCCAACGCCAGAUCCCACCAUUUAGAUCCGAGAUACAUCUUCAAAAACCAUCACCAGCAAAUACCAACAAGAUCCGUAACCCCCGAUCUAUAACAAGUACAUAAUCAUCUUAGAGAAGAGAGAGCUCCUUAUCCUCCUCAUCUUUAUAUUUAAAAAUUGCCGCUGAUCAGAAUCAAAAUCAAAUUACGAUGACGGCAACGAUGAUCGAAGGAUGGGAGAUGUACGGAAUUCGCCGGAGAGAGAAACGACGGAUGGAGACAGUAAUUUCCCAAAUCCAUCGUCUAGCACCGAAUUGGAAUUUUCAGUUUUGUGUUUUUCAUCCGUCGGGGGAAACAAAAAUCAAUUUGUACUAAAAAUAAAACUACUGCUAAUAAUUAAUAAAUUAAUAAUAAAUAAUAUAAUUUUAAAAUAUUGGCAGUACACUUAAACAAGAAAUGAAAUUACUAACCUGAGUUAUGUUUAAGGGAAGAUAUGCAAAAAUCUAAUGAACUUGAAUCACUUUUUUAUCUUAAUUCAGUUUGUAUAAAAGGUAGUAAAUUGGUAGUAAAAUAGUUACC
Molecule: long non-coding RNA, 908 nt
Filed under: Panax ginseng (ginseng)
Lineage: Eukaryota; Viridiplantae; Streptophyta; Magnoliopsida; Apiales; Araliaceae
Description: long non-coding RNA (PGIN_LNC006335)
Source: RNAcentral